Molecule: unclassified non-coding RNA, 246 nt
Filed under: Athalia rosae (coleseed sawfly)
Lineage: Eukaryota; Metazoa; Arthropoda; Insecta; Hymenoptera; Athaliidae
Description: misc RNA ENSAEAG00005003844.1
Source: RNAcentral
GCGGAGCAGUGAAAAAGUGGUGAAAGAAACCGAAGAUCACAAGUACGAGUGACGUGGACGUACCUCUGGCUUCCCUCAUAUACCUGCUAGAAACUCGUGACGUCACACAUACGUUUCUUAUCACUUCUCCGCUCCUACCUUAUAUACAUGGAAACAUGUGCAUGCAUGCGACAAACUAUAGCCACCCGAACGUUGCUAUACGAAUAGAGAUUACGAGGUGUUACUUGUGAGAACUUAAAAAUCCGG